This 497-nucleotide ribosomal RNA is filed under the name uncultured bacterium. Its description in RNAcentral is "partial 16S ribosomal RNA". It matches the Rfam family "Bacterial small subunit ribosomal RNA", at positions 28 to 507 of the family's 1533-position model. The record is from RNAcentral.
GAUGAACGCUGGCGGCGUGCCUAAUACAUGCAAGUCGAGCGAACAGACGAGGAGCUUGCUCCUCUGACGUUAGCGGCGGACGGGUGAGUAACACGUGGAUAACCUACCUAUAAGACUGGGAUAACUUCGGGAAACCGGAGCUAAUACCGGAUAAUAUAUUGAACCGCAUGGUUCAAUAGUGAAAGACGGUUUUGCUGUCACUUAUAGAUGGAUCCGCGCCGCAUUAGCUAGUUGGUAAGGUAACGGCUUACCAAGGCAACGAUGCGUAGCCGACCUGAGAGGGUGAUCGGCCACACUGGAACUGAGACGCGGUCCAGACUCCUACGGGAGGCAGCAGUAGGGAAUCUUCCGCAAUGGGCGAAAGCUUGACGGAGCAACGCCACGUGAGUGAUGAAGGUCUUCGGAUCGUAAAACUCUGUUAUUAGGGAAGAACAACUGUGUAAGUAACUAUGCACGUCUUGACGGUACCUAGUCAGAAAGCAACGGCUAACUACGUG